UACGGAGGGUGCAAGCGUUAUCCGGAAUCAUUGGGUUUAAAGGGUCCGUAGGCGGUUUGGUAAGUCAGUGGUGAAAGCCCAUCGCUCAACGGUGGAACGGCCAUUGAUACUGCCAGACUUGAAUUAUUAGGAAGUAACUAGAAUAUGUAGUGUAGCGGUGAAAUGCUUAGAGAUUACAUGGAAUACCAAUUGCGAAGGCAGGUUACUACUAAUGGAUUGACGCUGAUGGACGAAAAGCGUGGGUAGCGAACAGG
Molecule: ribosomal RNA, 254 nt
Filed under: uncultured bacterium
Lineage: Bacteria
Description: partial 16S ribosomal RNA
Rfam family: Bacterial small subunit ribosomal RNA
Source: RNAcentral